Molecule: ribosomal RNA, 761 nt
Filed under: Prevotella melaninogenica
Lineage: Bacteria; Pseudomonadati; Bacteroidota; Bacteroidia; Bacteroidales; Prevotellaceae
Description: bacterial SSU rRNA
Rfam family: Bacterial small subunit ribosomal RNA
Source: RNAcentral
GAUGAACGCUAGCUACAGGCUUAACACAUGCGAGUCGAGGGGAAACGGCAUUAAGUGCUUGCACUUUUUGGACGUCGACCGGCGCACGGGUGAGUAACGCGUAUCCAACCUUCCCAUGACUAAGGGAUAACCUGCCGAAAGGCAGACUAAUACCUUAUGGUCUUCACUGACGGCAUCAGAUGUGAAGUAAAGAUUUAUCGGUUAUGGAUGGGGAUGCGUCUGAUUAGCUUGUUGGCGGGGUAACGGCCCACCAAGGCAACGAUCAGUAGGGGUUCUGAGAGGAAGGUCCCCCACAUUGGAACUGAGACACGGUCCAAACUCCUACGGGAGGCAGCAGUGAGGAAUAUUGGUCAAUGGGCGAGAGCCUGAACCAGCCAAGUAGCGUGCAGGAUGACGGCCCUAUGGGUUGUAAACUGCUUUUGUAUGGGGAUAAAGUCAAUCACGUGUGAUUGUUUGCAGGUACCAUACGAAUAAGGACCGGCUAAUUCCGUGCCAGCAGCCGCGGUAAUACGGAAGGUCCGGGCGUUAUCCGGAUUUAUUGGGUUUAAAGGGAGCGUAGGCUGGAGAUUAAGUGUGUUGUGAAAUGUAGACGCUCAACGUCUGACUUGCAGCGCAUACUGGUUUCCUUGAGUACGCACAACGUUGGCGGAAUUCGUCGUGUAGCGGUGAAAUGCUUAGAUAUGACGAAGAACUCCGAUUGCGAAGGCAGCUGACGGGAGCGCAACUGACGCUGAAGCUCGAAGGUGCGGGUAUCGAACAGG